GAUGAACGCUGGCGGCGUGCCUAAUACAUGCAAGUCGAGCGAACAGACGAGGAGCUUGCUCCUUUGACGUUAGCGGCGGACGGGUGAGUAACACGUGGGUAACCUACCUAUAAGACUGGGAUAACUUCGGGAAACCGGAGCUACUACCGGCUAAUAUUUCGAACCGCAUGGUUCGAUAGUGAAAGAUGGCUUUGCUAUCACUUAUAGAUGGACCUGCGCCGUAUUAGCUAGUUGGUAAGGUAACGGCGUACCAAGGCAACGAUACGUAGCCGACCUGAGAGGGUGAUCGGCCACACUGGAACUGAGACACGGUCCAGACUCCUACGGGAGGCAGCAGUAGGGAAUCUUCCGCAAUGGGCGAAAGCCUGACGGAGCAACGCCGCGUGAGUGAUGAAGGUCUUCGGAUCGUAAAACUCUGUUAUUAGGGAAGAACAAACGUGUAAGUAACUGUGCACGUCUUGACGGUACCUAAUCAGAAAGCCACGGCUAACUACGUG
Molecule: ribosomal RNA, 497 nt
Filed under: uncultured bacterium
Lineage: Bacteria
Description: partial 16S ribosomal RNA
Rfam family: Bacterial small subunit ribosomal RNA
Source: RNAcentral